RNAcentral lists this unclassified non-coding RNA (325 nucleotides) under soil metagenome. RNAcentral describes it as "partial contains 5.8S ribosomal RNA, internal transcribed spacer 2, and large subunit ribosomal RNA". The stretch from base 1 to 120 matches the Rfam family "5.8S ribosomal RNA", at positions 35 to 154 of the family's 154-position model. The record is from RNAcentral.
GAUGAAGAACGCAGCGAAAUGCGAUAAGUAAUGUGAAUUGCAGAAUCCAGUGAAUCAUCGAAUCUUUGAACGCACAUUGCGCCCGCCAGUACUCUGGCGGGCAUGCCUGUCCGAGCGUCAUUUCAACCCUCGAGCCCCGCUUGGUGUUGGGCCCCGCCCGCCGUGGCCGGCCCUAAAGACAGUGGCGGCGCCGCCUGGCCCUCAGCGUAGUACAGCUCUCGCUCCAGGGUCCGGCGGCCGCCUGCCAGAACCCCCCCAACUCUGUGGUUGACCUCGGAUCAGGUAGGGAUACCCGCUGAACUUAAGCAUAUCAAUAAGCGGAGGA